This 66-nucleotide transfer RNA is filed under the name Micromorphus albipes. Its description in RNAcentral is "tRNA-Thr". It matches the Rfam family "tRNA". From Rfam's summary of the family: Transfer RNA (tRNA) molecules are approximately 80 nucleotides in length. Their secondary structure includes four short double-helical elements and three loops (D, anti-codon, and T loops). The record is from RNAcentral. Lineage: Eukaryota; Metazoa; Arthropoda; Insecta; Diptera; Dolichopodidae.
GUUUAAAUAAUUUAAUAUAAAAUAUUGGUCUUGUAAAUCAAAAAUAAGGUAUAAUCUUUUUAAACU